AUUGAACGCUGGCGGCAUGCCUUACACAUGCAAGUCGAACGGUAACAGGUCUUCGGAUGCUGACGAGUGGCGAACGGGUGAGUAAUACAUCGGAACGUGCCCGAUCGUGGGGGAUAACGAAGCGAAAGCUUUGCUAAUACCGCAUAAGAUCUACGGAUGAAAGCAGGGGACCGCAAGGCCUUGCGCGAACGGAGCGGCCGAUGGCAGAUUAGGUAGUUGGUGGGAUAAAAGCUUACCAAGCCGACGUUCUGUAGCUGGUCUGAGAGGACGACCAGCCACACUGGGACUGAGACACGGCCCAGACUCCUACGGGAGGCAGCAGUGGGGAAUUUUGGACAAUGGGCGAAAGCCUGAUCCAGCCAUGCCGCGUGCAGGAUGAAGGCCUUCGGGUUGUAAACUGCUUUUGUACGGAACGAAAAGACUCUUUCUAAUAAAGAGGGUCCAUGACGGUACCGUAAGAAUAAGCACCGGCUAACUACGUGCCAGCAGCCGCGGUAA
Molecule: ribosomal RNA, 498 nt
Filed under: uncultured bacterium
Lineage: Bacteria
Description: partial 16S ribosomal RNA
Rfam family: Bacterial small subunit ribosomal RNA
Source: RNAcentral